Molecule: small RNA, 82 nt
Filed under: Tistrella mobilis KA081020-065
Lineage: Bacteria; Pseudomonadati; Pseudomonadota; Alphaproteobacteria; Geminicoccales; Geminicoccaceae
Description: Makes More Granules Regulator RNA (mmgR)
Rfam family: Makes More Granules Regulator RNA (mmgR)
About the family: SuhB later renamed mmgR (makes more granules regulator) was a putative non-coding RNA found multiple times in the Agrobacterium tumefaciens genome and related alpha-proteobacteria. Other non-coding RNAs uncovered in the same analysis include: speF, ybhL, metA, and serC. Several studies inSinorhizobium meliloti showed that suhB element is indeed a non-coding RNA:firstly it was detected on Northern blot and called Sm8RNA, secondly in an RNAseq study referred to as SmelC689.
Source: Rfam by way of RNAcentral
UGAUGCUGCCCAUCUUCUUGGGCGUUUCCUCCCUAGACUUGGGCCGUAUCAGAUUGCUGGUACGGCCUUUUUUUUGUCCGGA